RNAcentral lists this ribosomal RNA (266 nucleotides) under uncultured bacterium. RNAcentral's name for it is "partial 16S ribosomal RNA". It matches the Rfam family "Bacterial small subunit ribosomal RNA", at positions 88 to 354 of the family's 1533-position model. The record is from RNAcentral.
CCGGCGACCGGCGCACGGGUGAGUAACACGUAUGGAACCUGCCCGCAGCAAGGGGAUAAGCGGAAGAAAUUCCGUCUAAUACCGCGUAACAACGUUGGGAGGCAUCUCCCGAUGUUUAAAGAUUUAUCGGCUGCGGAUGGCCAUGCGGCGCAUUAGCUAGUCGGCGGGGUAACGGCCCACCGAGGCGACGAUGCGUAGGGGUUCUGAGAGGAAGGUCCCCCACACUGGUACUGAGACACGGACCAGACUCCUACGGAAGGCAGCAG